This is a non-coding RNA of Camellia sinensis, 235 nucleotides long. Lineage: Eukaryota; Viridiplantae; Streptophyta; Magnoliopsida; Ericales; Theaceae. The record is from RefSeq and is a predicted model, not a curated record.
UGUAGGUUAAGAAUUAAUCCGGUUUACUGUUUAUACAGAUUGUGGCCUCAUACACGACUAAGGGUGAGACAAAAACCAGUCUUCUCCUGACCUCAGGAUGGUGGGGAUUAUCUCGUCAUUUCCAUUAUGUACCAGAAAUAUUAGCAGCUUUCUUCUGGACUGUACCGACUCUUUUCAACCAUUUUCUUCCUUACUUUUAUGUAGUAUUUCUUACCAUCCUUCUGUUUGACCGAGC